RNAcentral lists this ribosomal RNA (254 nucleotides) under uncultured bacterium. Its description in RNAcentral is "partial 16S ribosomal RNA". It matches the Rfam family "Bacterial small subunit ribosomal RNA", at positions 524 to 776 of the family's 1533-position model. The record is from RNAcentral.
UACGUAGGCAGCGAGCGUUGUUCGGAGUUACUGGGCGUAAAGGGUGUGUAGGCGGUCCUCUAAGUUUGGUGUGAAACCUCCAGGCUCAACCUGGAGUCGCCAUCCGAUACUGUCAUGGCUAGAGUCCGGUAGGGGCCCACGGAAUUCCUGGUGUAGCGGUGAAAUGCGCAGAUAUCAGGAGGAACACCGGUGGCGAAGGCGGUGGGCUGGGCCGGCACUGACGCUGAGGAGCGAAAGCGUGGGGAGCGAACAGG